ACAAACCGGAGGAAGGUGGGGAUGACGUCAAGUCAUCAUGCCCCUUAUGUCCAGGGCUACACACGUGCUACAUUGGCGCAUACAAAGGGCUGCGAUACCGCGAGGUGGAGCGAAUCCCAAAAAGUGCGUCUCGGUUCGGAUUGGAGGCUGAAACUCGCCUCCAUGAAGGUGGAGUUGCUAGUAAUCGCGGAUCAGCAACGCCGCGGUGAAUACGUUCCCGGGCCUUGUACACACCGCCCGUCACACCACGAAAGCGGGCAACACCCGAAGCCGGUGGCCUAACCCUUACGGGAGGGAGCCGUCGAAGGUGGGGCUCGUGAUUGGGGUGAAGUCGUAACAAGGUAGCCGUAGCGGAAGCUGCGGCUGGAUCACCUCCUAAUCUAGAUGCAUCGCGAGUCAGCC
RNAcentral lists this ribosomal RNA (402 nucleotides) under uncultured Rubrobacteraceae bacterium. RNAcentral describes it as "bacterial SSU rRNA". It matches the Rfam family "Bacterial small subunit ribosomal RNA", at positions 1158 to 1533 of the family's 1533-position model. The record is from RNAcentral. Lineage: Bacteria; Bacillati; Actinomycetota; Rubrobacteria; Rubrobacterales; Rubrobacteraceae.